GACGAACGCUGGCGGCGUGCUUAACACAUGCAAGUCGAGCGAGAUCCAUCCAGUGGCAACACUGAUGAAGAUCUAGCGGCGAACGGGUGAGUAACACGUGAGCAACCUGCCCCGAAGACCGGGAUAACAGCGGGAAACCGCUGCUAAUACCGGAUGCCCUCACCGGGCCGCAUGACCUGGUGAGGAAAUGGCUGAGUCUUAAUAAACUCAGUCCGCUUCGGGAGGGGCUCGCGGGCUAUCAGCUUGUUGGUGAGGUAACGGCUCACCAAGGCUACGACGGCUAGCUGGUCUGAGAGGACGACCAGCCACACUGGGACUGAGACACGGCCCAGACUCCUACGGGAGGCAGCAGUGGGAAUCUUGCGCAAUGGGCGAAAGCCUGACGCAGCGACGCCGCGUGAGGGAUGACGGCC
Molecule: ribosomal RNA, 413 nt
Filed under: uncultured bacterium
Lineage: Bacteria
Description: bacterial SSU rRNA
Rfam family: Bacterial small subunit ribosomal RNA
Source: RNAcentral